This 340-nucleotide long non-coding RNA is filed under the name Mustela putorius furo (domestic ferret). Its description in RNAcentral is "lncRNA (ENSMPUG00000028723.1)". Lineage: Eukaryota; Metazoa; Chordata; Mammalia; Carnivora; Mustelidae. The record is from RNAcentral.
CGUUCAUUCACCUAAAACAACUCUGCUAUUUUAUGGAAGAAGAAAUUGGCGUGGGAGAGAUUAAACACCUUUCCCAAGCUCAUACAACCAUGGUACAUUCUACCCCCAACAAAUCCAAAGAUAUCCACGAACAAAAGAAAUUAUUAAAACAAUAUCUGCCACUGUAUUGGCUGUGAGUACUUGAGAUCUUGCGUGGUCAUUUCCUGGAAUGAGCACAGGCCUGGGAAGGGGUUGGCGGUACCAACUGGCCUCAACAGUCUACUUUGGAAGAGGAUACACUGCCAACAGCGCCCAGUCAUGCAGGUAGGAGGCAAGAGGGGCGGUCUGGUGGGGACGAGCG